Long non-coding RNA from Ailuropoda melanoleuca (giant panda), 3619 nucleotides. RefSeq lists it as uncharacterized. Lineage: Eukaryota; Metazoa; Chordata; Mammalia; Carnivora; Ursidae. The transcript has 3 exons. The record is from RefSeq and is a predicted model, not a curated record.
UAAAGCUAAGCAUCAGGCUAUUGGCUCUGACUUGAGGCGCGCAGUGAUGACGUGCGGGAACCAUUUUGGACCUUCGACUUCGUUUGUGCUGUGUUUCAGAAGGCUUUCUUGAACCCUUUGGUCCUGUUGCCAAGAAGAGUUGUUCAAAAGGUCGUAAUACCUGAGUUCGGAAGAAACCGCUUAUAAGGAAGAAAAUGCCGCCUCUUGAAACGGAUAUAGCAGUGGAAACCGAAGAGUUAGUAAGGUUUGAGGAUCAUAUAACACGGGAGCUUACAUAUCUAUGCUCAGUGAUAAAGAGGCUAAUGUCAGAGCGCUUGAAAAAUAUCAGGGAGUUGAGAGAUAUAACAGAAAUGUGCAAGCCUGAUCGGGCAGAAAAUCGAGUUACCGAAGUAAAUGCAAAACAAGAGAAAGAGCAUGCGGAAGAAAAGGAAAAAUAGAAGAAAGGAAGUCUACGGGAUCGGUCCAGGAGCUACAAUGUACGCGUAAUAGGAAUACUUGAAACAGGGAAAAAGCAUAUGAAGCUGAAACAAUAAGGAACUAAUUGAAGAAAAUUUUCCAGAUUCGAAGAACGGACUAAAUCUGCAAAUAGCAAAAGUUCAUAGAGUACCAAUAAAACUUAACGAAAAGAAAGCAACACCUAGACAUCUUAGUGAUGUUUUUAAAAUUGGCGGAUAAGGAAAAAAAUUCUACAAGUAUUCAGAUAGAGAAAGCAGGUUAGCUAUAAGGGGUUAAAGUCAGACUGACCCGAUUUUUUUUCUUCCAGCUCUAAAUGCUGAAAGGCAAUGGAGCAAUACCUACAGUUUUAAGGGAAAGUGAUUUUGAACCAAGCGUUAUAUAUAUAUAUCCUGCCAAGUUAUCUUUUCUUUAUGAAGGCAACUGGAAGAUAUUUCCAGAUGUGCAGGGGUUAAGAAAGUAUAUCACCCAAAUACUAUCCUUGGAAAAUUUGCUAAAUGCUGUUAACUGCAGCCCACAAAAACAACUCAAGAGUAGUGAGACAAUUGUAUGAAAAAAAAAAUGGUGGGUAAACAUUAAAAGCUAGUUAAAUAUCGUUAAGAUUAAAUUGUUUUAUGUAGGGUUAUAAAACUAAAUGCAAAGGUAGAUUCUUAAGUUGGGUCUAAAAUUUCACUUUGUCUUGUUUUAAACUGAAAAGGUGUGUUAAGUGUUCAAUUUACAGAGCAGUUUGUUUUUAGUAUGUAAUGUAGAUAAAACUGUGCAUGCUGUUCAGCUAAAUAAAAAGGCUUUGUCGCUGUGGACAAGACACCUAGACUAAAGGCAUUCCAAGUGUUAAUCUGAUAAAAUGGAAAAUUGUUACAGUUUUGUGUCCUUUAUUUUUAAUUAGAGAGGGGGAAAAGUCACAAGUUUGUCUGUAAUGUUAAUACCGACUGUAAAAAGAAAGUUUCCAAAUCCCUGACUGGGGAGGCAGUAGAUGAAAACCUUGUUUUAUGUACAUCUUGCCUAGGGAGAAAAAGUAGUAACUGCUUCAUGUAGUAUUUAAUUCUAAGUAAAUUUGACAUUGAGAUAUGUGUUACAGAUAAAAUUAGAAUAUACCAGUUUUAUGGAUUGGAGAGGAAGUAGUGAAAAAAACAGCCAGGAAAACUUAAAAUUAGCAUAAAAUAGGUUGACAGAGAUACAGGUGAAUUAUCACACUCAUGAACGGGCUAAAUACCCCUGUAAAAAGAUUUAAAAAAAUCAGUCUCUGAACCUGCAUGUCAUAUUUGUAAAACCAAAGGAUAAAGGAGUUUAAAGAUAAUGAAAACUGUUAAGUCAUAGAAAUUGAAAUAGGGAGCACCAUUUUUAUUAGAAUUUAAGCUAUAACAACGUAUAAAACCCAAUGUAGGAUGUAACAUUUAAGAAGCUUUAUGUGGUAAAUAACAUGGCAUUCAUGUACAAAAUGUUCAAUAUCUUGAUGUGAGUGAUACUUUUACUGAUGUAUACAUUGUGUUUAAAAUAAGUGCAUUUUAAGUACUUAAUAAAGUAAUUCUUAAUUCAAAUACAUAUGGCAAUACAUAUAUUGGACACUAACUUCAAUACUUAAAAGUCUUUAGUAAAGUAGAUGAACAAAGAUAAACUAAAUAGGAGGGUUGUGUAUGUGUGUGUAAUAUGUAUUACUUUGCUACUUCAUUUGCAUAUUUUUUCAAAUUAUCCUGAAACAUUUCUAAAUGAUCUUGUAGUAGGGUAGCAGAGAAAAUUUUAUGAGCAUAUUGCACAAAUGACUACAUUGCAAGAAAGCCUAGAAACUCAGUUUAAAAGCUGAAAAAUCAUAUACUUGGAAUUUUGGAUGUUCUUAAAUAACAGGUCAAAGAGAAAAUUGUAACAAACACUUAUAAUUUAGGAAAUGCUACAAUAAGGACAUUACAUGUUAUGGAAUGGAUAUUCAAAAGGCAAGGAACAGGAAAUGAAAAUAUUAGGUGGAGGAUGGAAUAUGCACCUAGUAGACUUAGUAACUGGAGUUUGUAAAUUGUGUUACCUUCCAAUUCUAAGUAGUGGAUUUUCUCCAAUAUAAGCUAUUCUAAGUGCCACAAUUAACAUCUUGGUGACAGAUUUCUCCCUACUGAGUUUUAACGUAAGUUCUAAACAGCUGAUUUUCAGAGGGAGAAGCCGAAGUCUUUUCUUAACCACCACACCCCCACAUACACUCACACAGGUUUUAUUGUCUCUUUCUUAGACCUCCAUAUAUUUCUGUGGUAUGGUUUUCAUAUUGAAAUUAUGGUCCUCAGAAAAGCAGUAUCAGCAUUGUCUGGGAGCUUGCUAGAAAUGUAUCUCAGGUUAAUAGCAGCCUGGGAUUAGAUUAUAAAAUAUAUUAAACAUCUAUAAACUUUCUCACUGAACGUAAUACAUUGUACAUUAUGAAUGCUUAAUAAACGUUAAAUAGCAUUAGAAUCUAGAGACAGUUUUGCUGAAGCAGUGCUCUUGUAUAAAAGUUUUUGUACUUGAAUUGUAAGUCACAUUUUCCAAAUAUUUCAGGGCCAGACUGGUACUUCUGUUUUCCUCCUGUGUUGAAAUUUUGUAAAGUUGGGACACGAGGAAAACUUCAAGUUGAACAAUCCAAAUUUAGAAAUGUUGAAGAAGUACAACUUAAAAUGGUAAAUGAAGAAUAAGGCUCUCAUAAUAAUAGGUCUCUCUCUAGUGAAUAAAAUAACCUUUGGGGGGGAUUUAAAUUCAAGUUAUGUGCAGAUCAAGGUUUCUGGAUGAAAUCAAAGAUUUAUAGAAGGUGUAAAAGGCCUUCAUUAAUAAUGCUAUAGAAUUAGUGACAAGUGGGUAAAUAGGAGUACUAGCAAUAAUUGGAACAGCAGCUCUAGUAAAUUACAGACAGGACUUUGGAUUCUCCAAUGUUGCACUCCCCUAAAGGUGAUAAUAUUCUUGUAUUGGUAAGGGUGGGCUAGAAUAUGCAAACCAGUUGCCUGAAGAUAUAUUAAGAUGCAGAUAAUGAUAUAACAUAUUUGGGGUAAAGCUGAGAUUCUGUAUUUCUUAAAAGCUCCCAUGGGUUGGUGCUGCAAGUCUGGAUACAUAACAGACGAAAAUUUCAAGUACAAAAAUAAGACCUUCACUGUGUCUACUAACCAGGAAAUUGAGGCUCAGAAAGUAGUUGGCUUAAGGCUGCAUGGAAGCAGGCUGAAGG